Molecule: transfer RNA, 64 nt
Filed under: Parasutterella excrementihominis
Lineage: Bacteria; Pseudomonadati; Pseudomonadota; Betaproteobacteria; Burkholderiales; Sutterellaceae
Rfam family: tRNA
About the family: Transfer RNA (tRNA) molecules are approximately 80 nucleotides in length. Their secondary structure includes four short double-helical elements and three loops (D, anti-codon, and T loops). Further hydrogen bonds mediate the characteristic L-shaped molecular structure. tRNAs have two regions of fundamental functional importance: the anti-codon, which is responsible for specific mRNA codon recognition, and the 3' end, to which the tRNAs corresponding amino acid is attached (by aminoacyl-tRNA synthetases). tRNAs cope with the degeneracy of the genetic code in two manners: having more than one tRNA (with a specific anti-codon) for a particular amino acid; and 'wobble' base-pairing, i.e. permitting non-standard base-pairing at the 3rd anti-codon position.
Source: RNAcentral
GCGUAGCUCAGCCUGGUAGAGCGUUGCAUUUAGAAUGCAAGGGGCGCAAGUUCGAAUCCUGCCG